RNAcentral lists this ribosomal RNA (609 nucleotides) under uncultured archaeon. RNAcentral's name for it is "bacterial SSU rRNA". It matches the Rfam family "Archaeal small subunit ribosomal RNA", at positions 52 to 670 of the family's 1478-position model. The record is from RNAcentral.
UGCGAGUCGAGAGGUGCUAGACCUCGGCGUACUGCUCAGUAACACGUGGAUAACCUACCCUGUGGAGGGGGAUAACCCCGGGAAACUGGGGAUAAUACCCCAUAGGUUAGGGUGGCUGGAAUGCCCCCUAGCUCAAAGGUCCGCCGCCACAGGAUGGGUCUGCGCCCGAUUAGGUUGUUGUUGGGGUAACGGCCCAACAAGCCUUUGAUCGGUACGGGUUGUGGGAGCAAGUGCCCGGAGAUGGAUUCUGAGACACGAAUCCAGGCCCUACGGGGCGCAGCAGGCGCGAAAACUUUACAAUGCGAGAAAUCGUGAUAAGGGAACCCCGAGUGCCCGUAAAUUCGGGCUGUCCGCCAGUGCAAAAAACUGGCGAAGAAAGAGCCGGGCAAGACCGGUGCCAGCCGCCGCGGUAACACCGGCGGCUCGAGUGGUGGUCACUAUUACUGGGCUUAAAGCGUCCGUAGCUUGGUUGUUAAGUCUCUUGGGAAAUCCACCGGCUCAACCGAUGGGCGUCAGGAGAUACUGGCAACCUAGGGACCGGGAGAGGUGAGGGGUACUCCAGGGGUAGGAGUGAAAUCCUGUAAUCCUUGGGGGACCACCUGUGGCGAA